GUGACCCCAGGUCAGGCGGGGACACCCGCU
This 30-nucleotide ribosomal RNA is filed under the name Gagea spathacea. Its description in RNAcentral is "partial 26S ribosomal RNA". RNAcentral also lists the same sequence under 8 other names. Lineage: Eukaryota; Viridiplantae; Streptophyta; Magnoliopsida; Liliales; Liliaceae. The record is from RNAcentral.